AUUGAACGCUGGCGGCAUGCCUUACACAUGCAAGUCGAACGGUAACAGGGAGCUUGCUCCGCUGACGAGUGGCGAACGGGUGAGUAAUGCAUCGGAACGUACCCAGUAGUGGGGGAUAACGCAGCGAAAGCUGUGCUAAUACCGCAUACGCACUGAGGUGGAAAGCAGGGGACCUUCGGGCCUUGUGCUAUUGGAGCGGCCGAUGUCAGAUUAGCUAGUUGGUGGGGUAAAAGCUCACCAAGGCGACGAUCUGUAGCUGGUCUGUGAGGAUGAUCAGCCACACUGGGACUGAGACACGGCCCAGACUCCUACGGGAGGCAGCAGUGGGGAAUUUUGGACAAUGGGGCAACCCUGAUCCAGCCAUGCCGCGUGAGUGAAGAAGGCCUUCGGGUUGUAAAGCUCUUUCGGCCGGGAAGAAAUCGCCAUCUCUAACAUAGGUGGUGGAUGACGGUACCGGAAUAAGAAGCACCGGCUAACUACGUGCCAGCCGCCGCGGUAA
RNAcentral lists this ribosomal RNA (499 nucleotides) under uncultured bacterium. RNAcentral's name for it is "partial 16S ribosomal RNA". It matches the Rfam family "Bacterial small subunit ribosomal RNA", at positions 30 to 523 of the family's 1533-position model. The record is from RNAcentral.